UUCUGGCGUCAGGAUGAACGCUGGCGGCGUGCCUAAUACAUGCAAGUCGAGCGAGAAUCUUCAGAAACAAUCUUCGGAUGCGUUCAGGAGAGGAAGCGGCGGACGGGUGAGUAACGCGUAGGCAACCUGCCCCUGGCAGAGGGAUAGCCAUUGGAAACGAUGAUUAAAACCUCAUAAAGCUCAAAGAGCACAUGCUCAUUGAGCCAAAGAUUUAUCGGCUGGGGAUGGGCCUGCGUCUGAUUAACUAGUUGGUGAGGUAACGGCCCACCAAGGUGACGAUCAGUAGCCGACCUGAGAGGGUGAUCGGCCACAUUGGAACUGAGACACGGUCCAAACUUCUACGGAAGGCAGCAGUAAGGAAUCUUGCACAAUGGGGGAAACCCUGAUGCCAGCAACGCCGCGUGAACGAUGAAGGCCUUAGGGUUGUAAAGUUCUGAUCUGUGGGAAGAAGAAAGUGACGGUACCACAGAAGAAAGCCCCGGCUAAAUACGUGCCAGCCGCAGC
Molecule: ribosomal RNA, 504 nt
Filed under: uncultured bacterium
Lineage: Bacteria
Description: bacterial SSU rRNA
Rfam family: Bacterial small subunit ribosomal RNA
Source: RNAcentral